AUACGUAGGGGGCGAGCGUUAUCCGGAUUUAUUGGGUUUAAAGGGUGCGCAGGCGGCCAUUUAAGUCAGCGGUUAAAUCGUGGGGCUCAACCCCAUUCUGCCGUUGAUACUGGGUGGCUUGAUUGCGGUCGAGGUUGGCGGAAUUCGUUGUGUAGCGGUGAAAUGCAUAGAUAUGACGAAGAACACCGAUUGCGUAGGCAGCUUACCAGAUCGCAAAUGACGCUCAUGCACGAAAGUGCGGGGAUCGAACAGGAUUAGAUACCCUGGUAGUCCGCACAGUAAACGAUGAAUACUUGUUUUCGGCGAUAUAAUGUCGGAGGCAAAGCGAAAGCGAUAAGUAUUCCACCUUGGGAGUACGCCGGCAACGGUGAAACUCAAAUGAAUUGACGGGG
Molecule: ribosomal RNA, 392 nt
Filed under: uncultured bacterium
Lineage: Bacteria
Description: partial 16S ribosomal RNA
Rfam family: Bacterial small subunit ribosomal RNA
Source: RNAcentral